Long non-coding RNA from Cucumis melo (muskmelon), 195 nucleotides. RefSeq lists it as uncharacterized. The transcript is spliced from 2 exons. Lineage: Eukaryota; Viridiplantae; Streptophyta; Magnoliopsida; Cucurbitales; Cucurbitaceae. The record is from RefSeq and is a predicted model, not a curated record.
UCAACCUCCAACAAUGAAGAGCUUAGUAAAAUGAAGCCGUCCAAUAUACAAUCUACGAAAGAUUGGAUGGACUUUGUGAAAGAAAAGAAGAGUGCACGGUUCAAGGCUGAAAGUGCAAAGUUCAAAUCAAUGAAGAAGAGGCAACUUCCACAUACAUGUAGCCAUAAAGGUUAUGCUCGACUGGCGGAAGAUAUG